AUCGUUUCUCUCUCUAAAAUGAAAUAGUCUGUAAUAACCCACACCUUUUAAUUUGGGGAAAAUUUGACUGAGGAAAAGCAGAUAAAGAGUUUUUGAGAGAGCAAUGAGAGGGCGUUCAGGACUCCAACUCUCUCCAGACUUAAUGACAUUGGUCCUAUAAGCAUUCCAGUCGUUUCCCUAAUCCAUCAUCCGGCGCCUGCCAGCGCCCCCUGGGAGACAGACUUUGGGACAAACUUCUUUCCCAGGUCAGCCCGCCCACCUCCCGCCGCGAGCGCUCCCUGCGUAAGUGACUUGUGCUGACACAACGCACCGCAUCUGGUGUAGGGAGCUUUCCGGGUGACUCACGUCUUUGCAAUUUGCUUUUGUUUCUGGGGUGUUUUAGCUGCAAUUUUCUUCCCUCUGGUUUUAAUUUUGAGAGGAGGGGGGAAAAACCACCCAUAAUGAAUCAAGAAUGAGUGUCCUUUCCAGUAACCCUCCCCCACUUUAAAGUUGACUGUCUUUACAAGUUUGAUAACUACCCUAGACGUGCGGGGGCGGCACAGGUAGGAAGGCAUUAACUAACUACCUCAUAAACUGAAGUUGCCAGCCAAACCGAGCCACGAGAGAGGAGACUUUCUGAAUCUCCCUCACAACCCAGGCGUUUGCCGCGGCGGAUGUAACCUGUGCAGCUCCUUCCUUCUACUGCUGCUUUGCUCACGCUUAAAUCCCUCUCCUCACUGCCAGCGGUGCCAGAAGCAGCGUGAAUUCCAAGAGAUCCACCAGCGGUUUUGUUUCUGUCCGAGGUAAAUACGCUAUGCAAAAUACGGAACCACCAAAGGAUGCCGGGGAGGGGGAACAGAAGGGGAAUCCCUCACCUUCUCGGGAUGCGUUGCUCAUUUAUCUCCGCCUGGGGGAGUCGCCCAGCCUAGGUUGCCCCUCGUAUUCCUCCCUGAAGCCCCUACCUGGGGCAGCAGAGGUGGCCAGCGCGGCGGCGAUCUCUCCUGCAGCCCUGGCCCUCCCCCGCCCCCCGGCUUGGUUUUUCCCAGCCGUGGAGGUUGGGCCAGGGGCUGGGGUGAGAGGAGAGUCGGCGCCCGCAGCAGGAGCUGGGAAGGCGCGUGGACUCGGGUGGCACUCGGAGUUGGCUUUGCAGGCGCGGGGUGCGGAGGUCGCUCAUCCGAUCCUGCCCUGAGAGAGGCGCCAACAAAGGAGUUGAGGAGGUGCCACCCACCCCAGUUGCGGCGGGAGGAGGAGCGCCAAGGCCCGUGUCCCGACCCGCCGUGCGUACUCACUGGAGGGAAGGGCGGGGUGCCGCUCCGGGAGGGGGACGCCCGGUGGCUCGGGGUUAGCCAAGUUCCAGCUUUUGGCGUCCCCUCCUCUGCUCCCACGCGAGGAAAGUUUGCCGUCGACGCUUGCGGCCGGCUCGCGCCCGCCGGGCCCAGGCGGUCGAGUCUUCGGAGCGGGCGCUGUCCCAGCU
RNAcentral lists this long non-coding RNA (1453 nucleotides) under Mus spicilegus (steppe mouse). Its description in RNAcentral is "lncRNA (ENSMSIG00000018937.1)". The record is from RNAcentral. Lineage: Eukaryota; Metazoa; Chordata; Mammalia; Rodentia; Muridae.